ACUUCACUAAGGGCAAAUCAUGAGAACUUCGAGCCCCUUCCACUUCCUAAAGGUACUACAAGAGAGCUGGAGAGGGACUUUGGACAAGGGCCUGGAGUGACAGGAUAAGGGAGACUGGCUUCCCACUGCCAGCGGAGAGGUUACAGCCGUUGGCUAGUCAGAAACCUUAGCAUACAAGAUGACACAGCUGAACAGCGUAAAAAACGGGAACCGAAACCAAACCCCAGUGAAGCACUACACCCAGACAGCUCGUAGCAGCAUCAGGGGCAGCACAUGGAAAUGGUGACGUUGAUGCCGAGGUUUCCGUUGUCAGCAAAAAGGUGCGCGGUGGCUGUAUCAAAAACGAGGCAGUUGCUGUUGCGGAUGGCCACGUGCACGCCGUCGUGGAUGGAGCAGGGAGACGCCUCCCAGGUCAGCCGGUGGCAGCUGCUGUGCAGCUCCAGUCUGUACUGGAAGUUCUCUGCCUGCUUACGGGUGCCAAUGAGCAGCACGGUGGCAAAAAACUGCUGGUGACCUUCGCACUUCUCCUGCUUCUUCAGCACCAGCAUGAAGUGGUGACCAAAGCACGACUGCAUCAUCACCCAGUCCACUGCCCCUGGCAGGUUAAUGUCCGUGGCAAGGAAAAUGAUGUCUUCUCCCUGAAGGGUGGUAAUGCUUUUGUGGGCAUGCAUGAGGUGGGACAUCACAGCUUCCAAGGAUCCCUCCCAGUCACAAGAGGUCCCAGGGCACGGGCAGGAGUAGGGACGGUACUCACAGAUGGCUUCAUGUUUUGGCUUUUCUGUGUGGUGGAGUGUCAGGGAGCAGCCUGUUGUGGCAUACUGGAAAGAGACCAAACACAAGCCGUCAGCAAAGGCACCAGCACUAGUGUGCGCUGCUCCCACCCGUCAGCUGGAAACACAGGUGAUCCACCAGAGCUCUCGUGCUCACUGCACAUUUUACAUUACUUGUAUGGAGCCCUGGAUUCAAGCUGAGCUUUACUUAGUUUUUGUUUCCACUGAAAAUGGAUUCUUCUUGUCUUUUGUGGUUGUUUUUUCCUAAAGCAAGCACUUAGAUAAAAUGGGCUGUAUGGCUGA
Passer domesticus (house sparrow) is the source of this 1073-nucleotide long non-coding RNA. RefSeq lists it as uncharacterized. NCBI's taxonomy places the organism in Eukaryota, Metazoa, Chordata, Aves, Passeriformes, Passeridae. The transcript is spliced from 2 exons. The record is from RefSeq and is a predicted model, not a curated record.